RNAcentral lists this ribosomal RNA (468 nucleotides) under uncultured bacterium. RNAcentral describes it as "partial 16S ribosomal RNA". It matches the Rfam family "Bacterial small subunit ribosomal RNA", at positions 28 to 507 of the family's 1533-position model. The record is from RNAcentral.
AACGAACGCUGGCGGCGUGCUUAACACAUGCCAGUCGAACGGGAAGGCCCUGCUUUGGUGGGGUGCUCGAGUGGCGAACGGGUGAGUAACCCGUGAGUAACCUGCCCUUGACUGUGGGAUAACUUCAGAAAGCUGGGGCUAAUACCGGAUAGGAGCUCCUGCUGCAUGGUGGGGGUUGGAAGGUUUCGGCGGUUGGUGAUGGACUCGCGGCUUAUCAGCUUGUUGGUGGGGUAGUGGAUUACCAAGGCUUGGACGGGUAGCCGGCCUGAGAGGGGGACAGGCCAAACUGGGAUGGAGAUACGGCACGGACCCGUCCGGGAGGGAGGGGUGGGGUAUAGUGUACUAGGGGAGGAACGCUGACGCAGUAACGCCACGCGGGGGAUGAGGGCCAGCGGUUUGGAUUGUGCUUCUGCUUGUCACGAAGUGUGAGUGACGGUAAUGGGUAAAGAAGCACCGGCUAACUCCGUG